GCGCAUGUAGCCCGGUGUCCUGAGAGGCUCCAGCUGGCACUGAGCUGAAAUGAUGGAGAGGGGCAGCAAUCGACAUAUUUUCAAGAGGAUCUGGAAUAAGCCCUCUUCCUUUCGCGGAAUUGUUGAAGGGACAGAGCUUGGUAACUACCCACCCACUGCCUUCCUUCUCCCUCGGUCACCCUAUGCAGACCACUUUGCCACCUGCUUCUUCUGUGAAUAGGAUGGCGAUAUUCUCUCGUCCCAUCGAGGACUUGUUGCAAGUAAAGGAAGGCACCGCUGAUAACCGUGAGCCGUGACGACAGAUGUCAACCUGGCCAACCAGGAGGUGGGGGUCACACUAGGACCCAAUUCAUGAGUCAUCCCCCGGCCCCUCCAGGGCGACCACUGGCAAGGAUUCAACACCUCCUGUCUCCUUAGAGCCACGACCAUGUACCAAGGCCUAAAGUGUUGGGACCAGGUGGACAUUGUGUAGAGCACAAAGAUACUGCCCCUGUUCUCACCUCCACUCACCUCUAGUGGGAGAUAAGAUCAGAACGGAAGUGACGUCCACAUCUGAAGGGCAGUGCCUGACCCACAAAGGUGUCGAUCCAGUCCUGACCCUCACUGAUAACUGAUAACUCCACGUUCUCCCCUUUUGGAUGCUUAUCGUAAGUAGGAACAGCGGCCUCUUUACCUGAGUGGGACGAGCACAUCCAACAUCCAGGGGCUGCAGACAGACAGCUUGAGUCCAUCCCGGACCCCUUGGGGGUCAAGGACCCAUGUGUAUAACUGAAUAUGGCAAAAGUCACAGCUAAUAGACCCAGAUGGUGAUCCACACAUGACACGGGGCUCAGUAAGUACUGCUGGGUUUUUACAGCCGGGUGAACCGGCCACCCAACCCCCCUGCCCUCCGCAUGGGGGCAUGGGAGAAAUAAAAAAGCAUCCCUAUAUGACGUGACACACAAAUGAAUGGGUUUGAGGACUUUCGAUGACUCACAGGAUCCUGGACAUUUGUAUACAGACAAAUGGUCUUCCGCACCUCCCAGCAAACCACUCUGAGCCAAUAACGGUGGAGGAAGACAGAUCCAUCACGGCCACCUUUUAAGAGAGGAACCUGCCAGUCCUGGGCUCUCUUCUCUGUAAGAAAUACAGUGACACUGCCCGCCAAGAGACACUUUUCUUGCACUCCGCUCAUUCCAAAGACCAAAUGUUUUAUUGCAAACGUCCGCCAAAAUAAACAGGCCUGCAAGUCCCACAGCCAGUGGGACAGCGCCCUGGCCCAGGGAGGGAGGUGCGCGUGCUGGCCCUGACUGCCACUUGCCUUCCGGGGCCACCAUGGGCAAGCCCGCCGCGCUCCGUUCCCUCAUCCCUGACCGGGGAUGGGCUCCGCCCGCCUCACCGGCAACGGAGGACCGUCCAGGGAAAGGACUCGGAACACAGAAAAGCGCUAUGUAAGGUUAGACAAUGCAGUGGUUCGUGUUCGCCGUCCAGGAAAAAAAAAAAGAACAACAACAAAAAAAAAAAACCUUGCUUUUCAUUGUCAAACCUCAACUAACUGGAGUCGCUU
This is a long non-coding RNA of Felis catus (domestic cat), 1546 nucleotides long. RefSeq lists it as uncharacterized. The record is from RefSeq and is a predicted model, not a curated record. The transcript has 2 exons. NCBI's taxonomy places the organism in Eukaryota, Metazoa, Chordata, Mammalia, Carnivora, Felidae.